GGCCGCCUGGCGAAAUGGCAUCGCGUCUGACUACGAGCAUUACGUGAUUUGAUUACGUAAUUUCGGGAUCAGGAGAUUGCAGGUUCAACCCCUGCGGUGGUCA
Non-coding RNA from Mycena vitilis, 103 nucleotides. The record is from the annotation of a GenBank genome assembly. NCBI's taxonomy places the organism in Eukaryota, Fungi, Basidiomycota, Agaricomycetes, Agaricales, Mycenaceae.